UACGUAGGGUGCGAGCGUUAAUCGGAAUUACUGGGCGUAAAGAGCGCGCAGGCGGUCGUUCAAGUCGCGUGUGAAAGCCCCCGGCUCAACUGGGGAGGGUCACGCGAUACUGAUCGACUCGAAGGCAGGAGAGGGUAGUGGAAUUCCCGGUGUAGUGGUGAAAUGCGUAGAUAUCGGGAGGAACACCAGUGGCGAAGGCGACUACCUGGCCUGUUCUUGACGCUGAGGCGCGAAAGCUAGGGGAGCAAACGGG
Molecule: ribosomal RNA, 253 nt
Filed under: uncultured bacterium
Lineage: Bacteria
Description: partial 16S ribosomal RNA
Rfam family: Bacterial small subunit ribosomal RNA
Source: RNAcentral